RNAcentral lists this ribosomal RNA (862 nucleotides) under Pseudomonas sp. Its description in RNAcentral is "bacterial SSU rRNA". It matches the Rfam family "Bacterial small subunit ribosomal RNA", at positions 32 to 873 of the family's 1533-position model. Lineage: Bacteria; Pseudomonadati; Pseudomonadota; Gammaproteobacteria; Pseudomonadales; Pseudomonadaceae. The record is from RNAcentral.
AAAAUAAACGGCUGAACAUGCAAGUCGAGCGGAUGACAGGAGCUUGCUCCUGAAUUCAGCGGCGGACGGGUGAGUAAUGCCUAGGAAUCUGCCUGGUAGUGGGGGACAACGUUUCGAAAGGAACGCUAAUACCGCAUACGUCCUACGGGAGAAAGCAGGGGACCUUCGGGCCUUGCGCUAUCAGAUGAGCCUAGGUCGGAUUAGCUAGUUGGUGAGGUAAUGGCUCACCAAGGCGACGAUCCGUAACUGGUCUGAGAGGAUGAUCAGUCACACUGGAACUGAGACACGGUCCAGACUCCUACGGGAGGCAGCAGUGGGGAAUAUUGGACAAUGGGCGAAAGCCUGAUCCAGCCAUGCCGCGUGUGUGAAGAAGGUCUUCGGAUUGUAAAGCACUUUAAGUUGGGAGGAAGGGCAGUAACUUAAUACGUUGCUGUUUUGACGUUACCGACAGAAUAAGCACCGGCUAACUCUGUGCCAGCAGCCGCGGUAAUACAGAGGGUGCAAGCGUUAAUCGGAAUUACUGGGCGUAAAGCGCGCGUAGGUGGUUUGUUAAGUUGGAUGUGAAAGCCCCGGGCUCAACCUGGGAACUGCAUUCAAAACUGACAAGCUAGAGUAUGGUAGAGGGUGGUGGAAUUUCCUGUGUAGCGGUGAAAUGCGUAGAUAUAGGAAGGAACACCAGUGGCGAAGGCGACCACCUGGACUGAUACUGACACUGAGGUGCGAAAGCGUGGGGAGCAACAGGAUUAGAUACCCUGGUAGUCCACGUCGUAAACGAUGUCAACUAGUCGUCGGGAGCCCUGAGCUCUAGUUACGCAGCUAACGCAUUAAGGUUGACCCGCCCUGGGGGGAGUUAACGGUCGCC